CGAGAGUCGAUGUCACAUGCCUGUGGCAUAGGACAUGGGGCUGGACGGUGGCUGCGCUUCUAAAUUGGCCUUCAUCCAGAUCUGGACAGGUUAAUUGUCGUGUGUGUGAGAUGCUUGACCUCAAGAUUAUCAUCGCCCUUGGUGGCGGCUUACUGAUUGUCACAUUUGUGCUGAUGGCUGUUGUCAUCUGUCUUUACUACAAAGUAGCCAACGCAUUGAAAUGUUCAAAGGCAUAUUUGGCUCUGACCAUCAAUGAUAAUGAGGCCACAGUCACGAUGACCACAGACUCCACCAAUGGGUCCUAUCCCAGCAUCCAGUGUUGUGAAGAAUGUAACUUGAAUGCCAACUCGAACCCCCUGCCACCGUGAUUCUGUGACGUAACCAAAAGCCCUGGACUUGGCACAAAAAUCUUCAUUCACAGUAUUUCUUUCUUGGUAGAAUUCAUUAUUCAAGUCAGGUUCAAAUCAUGUUUAUAUCAUGUUAAGUACCACAUAUUUAUGUACUUUUGGAUAAAUAUGCAAGAGGAAAAUAA
Molecule: long non-coding RNA, 532 nt
Organism: Panthera uncia (snow leopard)
Lineage: Eukaryota; Metazoa; Chordata; Mammalia; Carnivora; Felidae
Exons: 4
Source: RefSeq, a predicted model, not a curated record